GAUGAACGCUAGCUACAGGCUUAACACAUGCAAGUCGCGGGGCAGCAUGGGGGUUGCUUGCAACUCCCGAUGGCGACCGGCGCGCGGGUGAGUAACGCGUAUCCAACCUGCCCUUCACCACGGGAUAACCCGGCGAAAGUCGGACUAAUACCGUAUGUUGUCCAUUGACGGCAUCCGAUUUGGACGAAAGGCUUUGCGGUGAAGGAUGGGGAUGCGUCCGAUUAGCCAGACGGCGGGGUAACGGCCCACCGUGGCUACGAUCGGUAGGGGUUCUGAGAGGAAGGUCCCCCACACUGGAACUGAGACACGGUCCAGACUCCUACGGGAGGCAGCAGUGAGGAAUAUUGAUCAAUGGGCGUAAGCCUGAACCAGCCAAGUAGCGUGCAGGAUGACGGCCCUAUGGGUUGUAAACUGCUUUUAUGCGGGGAUAAAGUGGCCCACGUGUGGGCUUUUGCAGGUACCGCAUGAAUAAGGACCGGCUAAUUCCGUG
This 490-nucleotide ribosomal RNA is filed under the name uncultured bacterium. RNAcentral describes it as "partial 16S ribosomal RNA". It matches the Rfam family "Bacterial small subunit ribosomal RNA", at positions 28 to 507 of the family's 1533-position model. The record is from RNAcentral.